GAUGAACGCUGGCGGUAUGCUUAACACAUGCAAGUCGAACGGACUCUUCGGAGUUAGUGGCGGACGGGUGAGUAACGCGUGAGAAUCUGGCUUUGGGUUCGGGACAACCACUGGAAACGGUGGCUAAUACCGGAUGUGCCGAGAGGUAAAAGAGAAAUUGCCUGAAGAUGAGCUCGCGUCUGAUUAGCUAGUUGGUGAGGUAAAGGCUCACCAAGGCAGCGAUCAGUAGCUAGUCUGAGAGGAUGACCAGCCACACUGGGACUGAGACACGGCCCAGACUCCUACGGGAGGCAGCAGUGGGGAAUUUUCCGCAAUGGGCGAAAGCCUGACGGAGCAAUACCGCGUGAGGGAAGAAGGCUCUUGGGUUGUAAACCUCUUUUCUUAGGGAAGAACAAAAUGACGGUACCUAAGGAAUCAGCAUCGGCUAACUCCGUG
Molecule: ribosomal RNA, 435 nt
Filed under: uncultured bacterium
Lineage: Bacteria
Description: partial 16S ribosomal RNA
Rfam family: Bacterial small subunit ribosomal RNA
Source: RNAcentral